This 88-nucleotide transfer RNA is filed under the name Acidimicrobiales bacterium. RNAcentral's name for it is "tRNA-Ser". It matches the Rfam family "tRNA". Rfam says of the family: Transfer RNA (tRNA) molecules are approximately 80 nucleotides in length. Their secondary structure includes four short double-helical elements and three loops (D, anti-codon, and T loops). Lineage: Bacteria; Bacillati; Actinomycetota; Acidimicrobiia; Acidimicrobiales. The record is from RNAcentral.
GGAGGGGUGCGAGAGCGGCCGAAUCGGCACGACUGGAAAUCGUGUGUCCUGCAAGGGACCGUGGGUUCGAAUCCCACCCUCUCCGCCA